GACGAACGCUGGCGGCGUGCCUCAAACAUGCAAGUCGGGCGGGGGUUGGCUGCUUGCGCAAGCAGCGGUUCAGCUCUAGCGGCGAACGGGUGAGUAACACGUGGGCAACCUGCCCCACAGACGGGGACAACCUCGGGAAACCGGGGCUAAUACCCGGUACGCUCCUCGGGCGGCAUCGCCUGGGGAGGAAAGGUCGCAAGACGCUGUGGGAUGGGCCCGCGGCCUAUCAGCUUGUUGGUGGGGUGACGGCCUACCAAGGCUAAGACGGGUAGCUGGCCUGAGAGGGUGGUCAGCCACACUGGGACUGAGACACGGUCCAGACUCCUACGGGAGGCAGCAGUUGGGAAUCUUGGGCAAUGGGCGCAAGCCUGACCCAGCGACGCCGCGUGGGGGAUGAAGGCCUUCGGGUCGUAAACCCCUACGUCAGGAGGGAAGAAGCCACCGCAA
RNAcentral lists this ribosomal RNA (447 nucleotides) under uncultured bacterium. RNAcentral describes it as "bacterial SSU rRNA". It matches the Rfam family "Bacterial small subunit ribosomal RNA", at positions 28 to 459 of the family's 1533-position model. The record is from RNAcentral.